UACGUAGGUGGCAAGCGUUGUUCGGAGUUACUGGGCGUAAAGAGUGUGUAGGCGGUUUUCUAAGUUUGGUGUGAAAUCUCCCGGCUUAACUGGGAGGGUGCGCCGAAGACUGGAAGGCUUGAGUAUGGGAGAGGAAAGCGGAAUUCCUGGUGUAGCGGUGAAAUGCGUAGAUAUCAGGAGGAACACCUGUGGUGUAGACGGCUUUCUGGACCAUCACUGACGCUGAGACACGAAAGCGUGGGUAGCAAACAGG
This 253-nucleotide ribosomal RNA is filed under the name uncultured bacterium. Its description in RNAcentral is "partial 16S ribosomal RNA". It matches the Rfam family "Bacterial small subunit ribosomal RNA", at positions 524 to 776 of the family's 1533-position model. The record is from RNAcentral.